CGCCCAACAGCUAGCCCAAUCAAGCAAACCCAACAACCCCAUGUUAAUAACCCCUAAGUACCCCCGUAUUUAAAUUAAACAAACCAUUUUUCCCCCUUAGUAUAGGCGAUAGAAAAGGAUACUAACGGCGCAAUAGAGAAAGUACCGCAAGGGAAUGCUGAAAGAGAGAUGAAACAGCCCAGUAAAGCCCUAAAAAGCAGAGAUUAAAACUCGUACCUUUUGCAUCAUGAUUUAGCCAGUGUACCCCAAGCAAAGAGAACUUUAGUUUGACGCCCCGAAACUACGUGAGCUACUCCAAGACAGCCUAUAUAAUAGGGCACACCCGUCUCUGUGGCAAAAGAGUGGGAAGAGCUUUGAGUAGAGGUGACAAACCUACCGAACCUAGUUAUAGCUGGUUGUCCAAUAAAUGAAUAGAAGUUCAGCCUCUUUGCUUCUCUCUUCACACUAGUUUGACCCCUAUUGAUGCUUAAAGAAACCAAGAGAGUUAGUCAAAGGGGGUACAGCCCCUUUGAAUCAAGACACAACUUUGUUAGGAGGGUAAAGAUCAUAAUAACUAAAGCUAGAUGUUUCGGUGGGCCUAAAAGCAGCCAUCCCUUUAGAAAGCGUUAAAGCUCGGACAUACAACUUCCCCUUCUUAUUCUGAUCCCUCAAUCUUACCCCCCUAGCUGUACUGGACCAUCCCAUACCCCUAUGGGAGUGACUAUGCUAAUAUGAGUAAUAAGAGAGCCAAACACUCUCUCCCUGCACACGUGUACCUCGGAACGGACAACCCACCGACGAUUAACGACCCCAAACAAAGAGGGUAUUGGAUAGCACACCAAAAAACCGGAAAAGCCUCCAACGACACACCGUUAACCCCACACAGGUGUGCCCCCAGGGAAAGACUAAAAGAAAGAGAAGGAACUCGGCAAACAUAAAAGCCUCGCCUGUUUACCAAAAACAUCGCCUCUUGUAAAAUCAAAAAUAAGAGGUCCCGCCUGCCCUGUGACUAUUUGUUUAACGGCCGCGGUAUUUUGACCGUGCGAAGGUAGCGCAAUCACUUGUCUUUUAAAUGAAGACCCGUAUGAAUGGCAUAACGAGGGCUUAACUGUCUCCUCUUUCCAGUCAAUGAAAUUGAUCUUUCCGUGCAGAAGCGGGAAUACACUCAUAAGACGAGAAGACCCUAUGGAGCUUUAGACACCAAGGCAGCCUACGUUAAGCACCCCGAACAAAGGAUUAAACCAAGUUGGCCCUGCCCUAAUGUCUUUGGUUGGGGCGACCGCGGGGAAUUAAAGAACCCCCACGUGGAAUGGGAACACUUUUCCUACAACCAAGAGCUACAGCUCUAGAAAACAGAACUUCUGACCAACAAGAUCCGGCAACGCCGAUCAACGGACCGAGUUACCCUAGGGAUAACAGCGCAAUCCUCUUUUAGAGCCCAUAUCGACAAGGGGGUUUACGACCUCGAUGUUGGAUCAGGACAUCCUAAUGGUGCAGCCGCUAUUAAGGGUUCGUUUGUUCAACGAUUAAAGUCCUACGUGAUCUGAGUUCAGACCGGAGUAAUCCAGGUCAGUUUCUAUCUAUGUUAUGCUCUUUUCUAGUACGAAAGGACCGAAAAGAAGAGGCCCAUGCCGAAGGCACGCCUCCCCCUCACCUAGUGAAGUCAACUAAAAUAGGCAAUAGGGCAUGCCCCUGUGCCUAAGAGAAAGGCAU
RNAcentral lists this ribosomal RNA (1692 nucleotides) under Cottus amblystomopsis (Sakhalin sculpin). RNAcentral's name for it is "16S ribosomal RNA". It matches the Rfam family "Bacterial large subunit ribosomal RNA". Lineage: Eukaryota; Metazoa; Chordata; Actinopteri; Perciformes; Cottidae. The record is from RNAcentral.